Molecule: transfer RNA, 71 nt
Filed under: Paramuricea clavata
Lineage: Eukaryota; Metazoa; Cnidaria; Anthozoa; Malacalcyonacea; Plexauridae
Source: RNAcentral
CUCUCUGUAGUUCGGUUGGUUAGAGCACUGACCGGAAUCGCAGGGACGCAGGUUCAUUCCUGCCAGAGGGG